Molecule: ribosomal RNA, 273 nt
Filed under: uncultured bacterium
Lineage: Bacteria
Description: partial 16S ribosomal RNA
Rfam family: Bacterial small subunit ribosomal RNA
Source: RNAcentral
UACAGAGGGUGCAAGCGUUGUUCGGAAUUACUGGGCGUAAAGCGUGCGUAGUCGGUAUUGAGAGUCGCGGGUGAAAUCCCAGGGCUUAACCCUGGAACUGCCUGCGAGACCUCAGUACUAGAGUGUGAGAGGGGAUAGUGGAAUACCCAGUGUAGCGGUGAAAUGCGUAGAGAUUGGGUGGAACACCGGUGGCGAAGGCGGCUAUCUGGCUCACAACUGACGAUCAGGCACGAAAGCGUGGGGAGCAAACAGGAUUAGAAACCCCAGUAGUCC